UCCGGCUUACACCGGCGGUCUCCUGUGAGUUCCCGACUUUAAUCGCUGGUAACACAGGACGAGGGUUGCGCUCGUUGGCGGACUUAACCGUACACCUCACGGCACGAGCUGACGACAGCCAUGCAACAUCUGUCUUUGGGUCUCCUUGUGGGAGAGGGCCUACUUUCAUAGGCUUACCCUCGAUGUCAAACCUGGGUAAGGUUCUUCGGUUAGUAUCGAAUUAAUCCACAUGCUCCACCGCUUGUGCGGAUCCCCGUCAAUUCCUUUGAGUUUUAACCUUGCGGCCGUACUCCCCAGGCGGUCAACUUCACGCGUUAGCUUCGUUACCAAGGAAUUGCUUCCCCGACAACCAGUUGACAUAGUUUAAGGCGUGGACUAC
Molecule: unclassified non-coding RNA, 379 nt
Filed under: uncultured Armatimonadota bacterium
Lineage: Bacteria; Bacillati; Armatimonadota
Description: uncultured Armatimonadetes bacterium contains 16S-23S intergenic spacer region
Source: RNAcentral